CUACGGGUUGCUGCAGUGGGGAAUAUUGCACAAUGGGCGCAAGCCUGAUGCAGCCAUGCCGCGUGUAUGAAGAAGGCCUUCGGGUUGUAAAGUACUGUCAGCGGGGAGGAAGGGAGUAAAGUUAAUACCUUUGCUCAUUGACGUUACCCGCAGAAGAAGCACCGGCUAACUCCGUGCCAGCAGCCGCGGUAAUACGGAGGGUGCAAGCGUUAAUCGUAAUUACUGGGCGUAAAGCGCACGCAGGCGGUUUGUUAAGUCAGAUGUGAAAUCCCCGGGCUCAACCUGGGAACUGCAUCUGAUACUGGCAAGCUUGAGUCUCGUAGAGGGGGGUAGAAUUCCAGGUGUAGCGGUGAAAUGCGUAGAGAUCUGGAGGAAUACCGGUGGCGAAGGCGGCCCCCUGGACGAAGACUGACGCUCAGGUGCGAAAGCGUGGGGAGCAAACAGGAUUAGAUACCCCCGUAGUC
This 464-nucleotide ribosomal RNA is filed under the name uncultured bacterium. RNAcentral describes it as "partial 16S ribosomal RNA". It matches the Rfam family "Bacterial small subunit ribosomal RNA", at positions 339 to 795 of the family's 1533-position model. The record is from RNAcentral.